AUGCUCACUUUGGCAGGACAUACAUUAAAAGUGGGACAAUACAGAGAAGAUUAGCAUGGGCCCUAUGCAAGGAUGACAUGCAAAUUCAUGUAAUGCUCCAUAUUAAA
Capra hircus (goat) is the source of this 107-nucleotide small nuclear RNA. NCBI's taxonomy places the organism in Eukaryota, Metazoa, Chordata, Mammalia, Artiodactyla, Bovidae. The record is from Ensembl.